RNAcentral lists this ribosomal RNA (357 nucleotides) under uncultured Methanosaeta sp. Its description in RNAcentral is "bacterial SSU rRNA". It matches the Rfam family "Archaeal small subunit ribosomal RNA", at positions 981 to 1338 of the family's 1478-position model. Lineage: Archaea; Methanobacteriati; Methanobacteriota; Methanomicrobia; Methanotrichales; Methanotrichaceae. The record is from RNAcentral.
UGAGAGGUGGUGCAUGGCCGUCGUCAGUUCGUACUGUGAAGCAUCCUGUUAAGUCAGGCAACGAGCGAGACCCACGCCCACAGUUGCCAGCGUACUCUCUGGAGUGACGGGUACACUGUGGGGACCGCCGCUGCUAAAGCGGAGGAAGGAAUGGGCAACGGUAGGUCAGUAUGCCCCGAAUAUCCCGGGCUACACGCGAGCUACAAUGGUUGGUACAAUGGGUAUCUACCCCGAAAGGGGACGGGAAUCUCCUAAACCAAUCUUAGUUCGGAUUGAGGGCUGCAACUCGCCCUCAUGAAGCUGGAAUCCGUAGUAAUCGCGUUUCAACAGAACGCGGUGAAUACGUCCCUGCUCCUU